RNAcentral lists this ribosomal RNA (128 nucleotides) under uncultured bacterium. RNAcentral's name for it is "partial 16S ribosomal RNA". It matches the Rfam family "Bacterial small subunit ribosomal RNA", at positions 1373 to 1500 of the family's 1533-position model. The record is from RNAcentral.
CCCGGGCCUUGUACACACCGCCCGUCACACCAUGAGAGUUGGGGAUACCCGAAGCCUGUGAACUAACAGUAAUGGAGCAGCAGUCGAAGGUAGAAUCAAUGAUUGGGGUGAAGUCGUAACAAGGUAGC